GAUGAACGCUGGCGGCGUGCCUAACACAUGCAAGUGGAGCGACGAACCUGGCUUCGGCCAGGGGCAAAGCCGCGAACGGGUGAGUAACACGUGGAUUAUCUGCCCCAAUGACCGGGACAACCCGAGGAAACUCGGGCUAAUACCGGAUGUGCUCUUAGGAGGAAAGGAAGCUUCGGCCUCCGCAUUGGGAUGAGUCCGCGGCGCAUUAGCUUGUUGGUGGGGUAAUGGCCCACCAAGGCGACGAUGCGUAGCUGGUCUGAGAGGACGAUCAGCCACACAGGAACUGAGACACGGUCCAGACUCCUACGGGAGGGAGCAGUGGGGAAUCUUGCGCAAUGAACGAAAGUGUGACGCAGCAACGCCGCGUGCGGGAAGAAGGUCUUCGGAUCGUAAACCGCUUUCAGUUGGGACGAGGGUCAGCUGGUGAAUAGCCAGUCUGACUGACGGUACCUUCAGAAGAAGCCCCGGCUAACUACGUGCCAGCCGCCGCCGUAA
RNAcentral lists this ribosomal RNA (495 nucleotides) under uncultured bacterium. RNAcentral describes it as "partial 16S ribosomal RNA". It matches the Rfam family "Bacterial small subunit ribosomal RNA", at positions 28 to 523 of the family's 1533-position model. The record is from RNAcentral.